UAUACUGUGAAACUGCGAAUGGCUCAUUAAAUCAGUUAUCGUUUAUUUGAUAGUACCUUACUACUUGGAUAACCGUGGUAAUUCUAGAGCUAAUACAUGCUAAAAACCUCGACUUCGGAAGGGGUGUAUUUAUUAGAUAAAAAACCAAUGCCCUUCGGGGCUCCCUGGUGAUUCAUAAUAACUUAACGAAUCGCAUGGCCUUGUGCCGGCGAUGGUUCAUUCAAAUUUCUGCCCUAUCAACUUUCGAUGGUAGGAUAGUGGCCUACCAUGGUUUCAACGGGUAACGGGGUAUUAGGGUACUAUACCGGAGAGGGAGCCUGAGAAACGGCUACCACAUCCAAGGAAGGCAGCAGGCGCGCAAAUUACCCAAUCCCGACACGGGGAGGUAGUGACAAUAAAUACUGAUACAGGGCUCUUUUGGGUCUUGUAAUUGGAAUGAGUACAAUUUAAAUCCCUUAACGAGGAACAAUUGGAGGGCAAGUCUGGUGCCAGCAGCCGCGGUAAUUCCAGCUCCAAUAGCGUAUAUUAAAGUUGUUGCAGUUAAAAAGUUCGUAGUUGACCUUGGGCCUGGCUGGCCGGUCCGCCUCACCGCGUGCACUGGUCCGGCCGGCCUUUCCUUCUGGGGAUCCCCAUGCCCUUCACUGGGUGUGCGGGGGAACCAGGACUUUUACUUUGAAAAAAUUAGAGUGUUCAAAGCAGGCCUAUGCUCGAAUACAUUAGCAUGGAAUAAUAGAAUAGGACGUGUGGUUCUAUUUUGUUGGUUUCUAGGACCGCCGUAAUGAUUAAUAGGGAUAGUUGGGGCCAUCAGUAUUGCUGUGUCAGAGGUGAAAUUCUUGGAUUUCAGCAAGACUAACUACUGCGAAAGCAUUUGGCAAAGAUGUUUUCAUUAAUCAGUGAACGAAAGUUAGGGGAUCGAAGACGAUCAGAUACCGUCGUAGUCUUAACCAUAAACUAUGCCGACUAGGGAUCGGGCGAUGUUAUCUUUUUGACUCGCUCGGCACCUCACGAGAAAUCAAAGUCUUUGGGUUCU
RNAcentral lists this ribosomal RNA (1030 nucleotides) under Sarcotrochila longispora. Its description in RNAcentral is "SSU rRNA". It matches the Rfam family "Eukaryotic small subunit ribosomal RNA", at positions 75 to 1115 of the family's 1831-position model. The record is from RNAcentral. Lineage: Eukaryota; Fungi; Ascomycota; Leotiomycetes; Helotiales; Cenangiaceae.